GGUAGUAACACGUGGGUGAUCUGCCCUGCACUCUGGGAUAAGCCUGGGAAACUGGGUCUAAUACCGGAUAGGACCGCACUUUAGUGUGUGUGGUGGAAAGUUUUUUCGGUGUAGGAUGAGCCCGCGGCCUAUCAGCUUGUUGGUGGGGUAAUGGCCUACCAAGGCGGCGACGGGUAGCCGGACUGAGAGGUUGGUCGGCCACAUUGGGACUGAGAUACGGCCCAG
This 225-nucleotide ribosomal RNA is filed under the name uncultured Actinomycetales bacterium. Its description in RNAcentral is "partial 16S ribosomal RNA". It matches the Rfam family "Bacterial small subunit ribosomal RNA", at positions 105 to 334 of the family's 1533-position model. The record is from RNAcentral. Lineage: Bacteria; Bacillati; Actinomycetota; Actinomycetes; Actinomycetales.